This 500-nucleotide ribosomal RNA is filed under the name uncultured bacterium. RNAcentral's name for it is "bacterial SSU rRNA". It matches the Rfam family "Bacterial small subunit ribosomal RNA", at positions 30 to 523 of the family's 1533-position model. The record is from RNAcentral.
AUUGAACGCUGGCGGCAUGCUUUACACAUGCAAGUCGAACGGCAGCGCGGGCUUCGGCCUGGCGGCGAGUGGCGAACGGGUGAGUAAUAUAUCGGAACGUACCCAAGAGUGGGGAUAACGUAGCGAAAGUUACGCUAAUACCGCAUACGAUCUAAGGAUGAAAGCAGGGGAUCGCAAGACCUUGUGCUCCUGGAGCGGCCGAUAUCUGAUUAGCUAGUUGGUGAGGUAAAGGCUCACCAAGGCAACGAUCAGUAGCUGGUCUGAGAGGACGACCAGCCACACUGGAACUGAGACACGGUCCAGACUCCUACGGGAGGCAGCAGUGGGGAAUUUUGGACAAUGGGGGGCAACCCUGAUCCAGCAAUGCCGCGUGAGUGAAGAAGGCCCUAGGGUUGUAAAGCACUUUCAGUGGGGAGAAGGGUUGAUUGGUUAAGAGCUGAUUAAUUGGACGUUACCCACAGAAGAAGCACCGGCUAACUCCGUGCCAGCAGCCGCGGUAA